UCCUGAAGAUUUUCCUCAGAGAAUUUUUCAUCUCUUUGUUCCUGAGACUAUAUAUUAGAGGAUUGCAGAGAGGUGUUAUCACAGAAUAGAAAAAGGUCACUUGAUAUUCUUGGCUUGAUGAAAAAAGAACAAGAUUCUAACGUGACAGAAUUUGUUCUUCUGGGCCUAUCAUCUUCUUGGGAGCUGCAGCUAUUUCUCUUCUUACUAUUUUUGUUUUUUUACAUUGCUAUCGUCCUGGGAAACCUCUUGAUAGUGGUAACAGUGCAAGCCCAUGCUCACCUGCUCCAACUUCCUAUGUAUUAUUUUUUAGGUCAUCUCUCUUUCAUUGACCUAAGCCUGAGCUGUGUUACUGUGCCAAAGAUGUUAGGGGAUUUCCUACAGCAGGGCAAGAGCAUCUCUUU
This 401-nucleotide small RNA is filed under the name Pongo abelii (Sumatran orangutan). RNAcentral describes it as "sense overlapping". Lineage: Eukaryota; Metazoa; Chordata; Mammalia; Primates; Hominidae. The record is from RNAcentral.